RNAcentral lists this long non-coding RNA (1391 nucleotides) under Homo sapiens (human). RNAcentral describes it as "HSALNT0375579". The record is from RNAcentral. Lineage: Eukaryota; Metazoa; Chordata; Mammalia; Primates; Hominidae.
GGUGACAGAGCAAGACUCUAUCUCAAAAAAAAAAAAAAAAGAAGAAAGAUGUCUGAGAUCCAUUUGAUAUUGAAUGCCACUUUGUAAAUAUCACAAGGCUUGUUCAAAAAAGCCCGAGUUCUUGCCUAAAUUAUUCAUGUAAUCUUGGGCAAAGUGUUUAAGUCCUCAGGGUUAUUUUGCUCAUUUGCAACAUGAGGAAGGCAUGACUAGAUGAUCUCCGAGAACACUGGACAAGAUGUCUUGCAGCAUUAUAAUGUUAUGAUUACUACUGGGAGAGCCCUAAAGCCAUGGAGAUAGGAAAUUUCAUCUUGUGCUAAAUGCCACGACCCAAGCAGGAAUUUGUACUAAUUCACACCACAGUUAGUUUAUGUUUUAAAUGUGUAAGUUCAACUAAGUUUCUAUGAAAAAACCAUAGAAAGUAAUGACCACAAUGUUUUUCUGCUAUAACCAAUCCACUGGACAUGAGUCACAGGCGUUGGUGGAGGUUUUGAGUGAUGAAAAAUGAACCAGAAAAUGGAGCUGAAUCAGAGGGUGGGAAAAAUAUAAGAGGCUUCCACGAUGGAAGUGAGGGGAUAGUAAGCCUUCCUAAGGACUAAUUUAAAUAUCUCAGGAGGGGAAGUUGGAAAUGUCACUAGAGCCCUGUCUCCAUCAAUUGCUGCAAUAAUCAAAUCCUUUGGAUGGGAGGGAAUACAGAGGGCACCCUCAAAAGUUAGUGGUCCUAAGUCCUCCAACUUAUUUUCAUAUCUUUGGAUUCAUAAAUUCACAGAGGUUGCAGAGGAGAAAAACUUCCCUUAAGUAAUCUUAACAGAAAUUCUCCAAAGCCCCCUUUUACUUCUCCUUCAACUCAAAGUACCCAUCCAUUCCUCCCAAAUAACCUUAUCUACAGAAACUAAUACAUAUUGUCCUUUUUGUCUGACCUUGAACCUUCCCUUAUCUACUCUUGGCUAGGAGCUUUUUGGCAAGAGGCGGAUGAGGAGGAGUUUGGCCUCCCUUGUUUAAAUCCUUUGUUCUUCUGUCACGGAAGUCAGGCCUGCUCCAUUCAUCACAGGUUUGACCACUCAACAUUUGACACCACAAUGAUAAAUAGAAAUGCUAACACCAUUCAAACUUUCCCUACAUGCUAGUCACUGUACUAAGUGCUUUAUAUGUAUUGUUACUUUUAAUCCACAUUAUACUCUUGUGAAGUGGUAGUGAAGAUCCAUGUCCCUGAAGAUCUCAUUAGCAAUGUGGGCUUUCUCAUGUCCCUGUGGCUCCGUGGAUGUUCCCAAGCUUACUGGUUUUGGAGUCUUGCACAGCCUCCUUAACGUGAAGACAAUGAGGAUGAAGACUUUUAUGAUGAGCCACUUCCACUAAACGAAUAGCUGGAGUGCAGUGGUGCCCAGGCUGGAGUG